Molecule: ribosomal RNA, 230 nt
Filed under: uncultured bacterium
Lineage: Bacteria
Description: partial 16S ribosomal RNA
Rfam family: Bacterial small subunit ribosomal RNA
Source: RNAcentral
GAUCAUGGCUCAGGAUGAACGCUGGCGGCGUGCCUAACACAUGCAAGUCGAACGAGAUGCGUAUCGGAAAGCUUCGGCCGGAAGAUGCGUUAUCUAGUGGCGGACGGGUGAGUAACACGUGGGUAACCUGCCUUAUGGAGGGGGAUAACAGAGAGAAAUCACUGCUAAUACCGCAUAAGCACACAGUACCGCAUGGUAGAGUGUGAAAAGAUUUAUCGCCAUAAGAUGGG